RNAcentral lists this ribosomal RNA (1373 nucleotides) under uncultured bacterium. RNAcentral describes it as "bacterial SSU rRNA". It matches the Rfam family "Bacterial small subunit ribosomal RNA", at positions 28 to 1381 of the family's 1533-position model. The record is from RNAcentral.
GAUGAACGCUGGCGGCGUGCCUAAUACAUGCAAGUCGAGCGAACGGACGAGAAGCUUGCUUCUCUGAUGUUAGCGGCGGACGGGUGAGUAACACGUGGAUAACCUACCUAUAAGACUGGGAUAACUUCGGGAAACCGGAGCUAAUACCGGAUAAUAUUUUGAACCGCAUGGUUCAAAAGUGAAAGACGGUCUUGCUGUCACUUAUAGAUGGAUCCGCGCUGCAUUAGCUAGUUGGUAAGGUAACGGCUUACCAAGGCAACGAUGCAUAGCCGACCUGAGAGGGUGAUCGGCCACACUGGAACUGAGACACGGUCCAGACUCCUACGGGAGGCAGCAGUAGGGAAUCUUCCGCAAUGGGCGAAAGCCUGACGGAGCAACGCCGCGUGAGUGAUGAAGGUCUUCGGAUCGUAAAACUCUGUUAUUAGGGAAGAACAUAUGUGUAAGUAACUGUGCACAUCUUGACGGUACCUAAUCAGAAAGCCACGGCUAACUACGUGCCAGCAGCCGCGGUAAUACGUAGGUGGCAAGCGUUAUCCGGAAUUAUUGGGCGUAAAGCGCGCGUAGGCGGUUUUUUAAGUCUGAUGUGAAAGCCCACGGGCUCAACCUUGGAGGGUCAUUGGAAACUGGAAAACUUGAGUGCAGAAGAGGAAAGUGGAAUUCCAUGUGUAGCGGUGAAAUGCGCAGAGAUAUGGAGGAACACCAGUGGCGAAGGCGACUUUCUGGUCUGUAACUGACGCUGAUGUGCGAAAGCGUGGGGAUCAAACAGGAUUAGAUACCCUGGUAGUCCACGCCGUAAACGAUGAGUGCUAAGUGUUAGGGGGUUUCCGCCCCUUAGUGCUGCAGCUAACGCAUUAAGCACUCCGCCUGGGGAGUACGACCGCAAGGUUGAAACUCAAAGGAAUUGACGGGGACCCGCACAAGCGGUGGAGCAUGUGGUUUAAUUCGAAGCAACGCGAAGAACCUUACCAAAUCUUGACAUCCUUUGACAACUCUAGAGAUAGAGCCUUCCCCUUCGGGGGACAAAGUGACAGGUGGUGCAUGGUUGUCGUCAGCUCGUGUCGUGAGAUGUUGGGUUAAGUCCCGCAACGAGCGCAACCCUUAAGCUUAGUUGCCAUCAUUAAGUUGGGCACUCUAAGUUGACUGCCGGUGACAAACCGGAGGAAGGUGGGGAUGACGUCAAAUCAUCAUGCCCCUUAUGAUUUGGGCUACACACGUGCUACAAUGGACAAUACAAAGGGCAGCGAAACCGCGAGGUCAAGCAAAUCCCAUAAAGUUGUUCUCAGUUCGGAUUGUAGUCUGCAACUCGACUACAUGAAGCUGGAAUCGCUAGUAAUCGUAGAUCAGCAUGCUACGGUGAAUACGUUCCCGGGUCU